RNAcentral lists this ribosomal RNA (211 nucleotides) under uncultured bacterium. Its description in RNAcentral is "partial 16S ribosomal RNA". It matches the Rfam family "Bacterial small subunit ribosomal RNA", at positions 1290 to 1500 of the family's 1533-position model. The record is from RNAcentral.
AGUUCGGAUUGUAGUCUGNAACCCGACUACAUGAAGCUGGAAUCGCUAGUAAUCGCGGAUCAGAAUGCCGCGGUGAAUACGUUCCCGGGUCUUGUACACACCGCCCGUCACACCAUGGGAGUCGGAAAUGCCCGAAGUCUGUGACCCAACCGGAAGGAAGGAGCAGCCGAAGGCAGGUCUGAUGACUGGGGUGAAGUCGUAACAAGGUACC